AAAACAUUUCCAUAAUCUCAGAAAGUUUUACUGGACAGCACUAGGCCUUUCUAGAAUCUUUUUUUUUUUUUUUUUUUUUGAGACAGAGUUUUGCUCUUGUUGCCUAGGCUGGAGUGCAAUGACACGAUCUCGGCUCAAUGCAACCUCUGCCUCCUGGGUUCAAGCAAUUCUUCUGCCUCAGCCUCCAGAGUAGCUGGCAUUACAGCAAUUACCAGCUGAUGCUGAGUAACUUCUGCCCCCUUAAAGCCAGGCACAUACUAACUGGUUCACCUCAAUCUGCACCACUCUGCUGCCCAGUGCCCAGUGUGUGGCUAUUCAAGGAUAUUGCAGUGUUUCUUUGGACCCGUGUGAGAAUUAUGUACUAUGUGGCACAAUAAAUGGGAAUACAUUGGUUUUCAAGGGCUGUUUGAUCCCUGUGAUUGGAACCUGCAUUUAUUAGCAGGCUUGAUGAGUGUGGGGUUGGUCUGCUGUUUUCCUAAACUUGAAUAUCUUCAAGCCUGUGAUAUUUCUUCCCAAUGUAACAUAUUACUUGGCAUCUAGAGAAAUGGUACUUAAUUUUAGAAGAGGUCACAGAUGCCUUUGGGAAUUUGAUAAAAGCUGUAGACUUAGUAAGGGUGGGAAUAUGCACAUAAAGACACAAAUGUUUACAUACAGUGUCGGGGGUACAAAGACACCCCCUCGCCCCCAGCACAUCCCUGGCUCUCCGAGGAGUCCUCAGAUCUUCAUUCAGAAUCCCUGCCCUGGAGACUUCCCCCUAAAAUAGGAGAUUGGUUGUUUACAUCAGCUCCAUUCUCUCCCAAAACUUAAUCUUACAAUAAUAAUAAAAGAAUAUUUAAAGCAUAAGCCUACAGGGACAAAGAAAAUGAGAAAGAA
Molecule: long non-coding RNA, 873 nt
Filed under: Homo sapiens (human)
Lineage: Eukaryota; Metazoa; Chordata; Mammalia; Primates; Hominidae
Description: HSALNT0095829
Source: RNAcentral